This 492-nucleotide ribosomal RNA is filed under the name uncultured bacterium. RNAcentral's name for it is "partial 16S ribosomal RNA". It matches the Rfam family "Bacterial small subunit ribosomal RNA", at positions 29 to 507 of the family's 1533-position model. The record is from RNAcentral.
AGUGAACGCUGGCGGUAGGCCUAACACAUGCAAGUCGAACGGCAGCACAGUAAGAGCUUGCUCUUACGGGUGGCGAGUGGCGGACGGGUGAGGAAUACAUCGGAAUCUACUUUUUCGUGGGGGAUAACGUAGGGAAACUUACGCUAAUACCGCAUACGACCUACGGGUGAAAGCAGGGGAUCUUCGGACCUUGCGCGAUUGAAUGAGCCGAUGUCGGAUUAGCUAGUUGGCGGGGUAAAGGCCCACCAAGGCGACGAUCCGUAGCUGGUCUGAGAGGAUGAUCAGCCACACUGGAACUGAGACACGGUCCAGACUCCUACGGGAGGCAGCAGUGGGGAAUAUAGGACGAUGGGCGCAAGCCUGAUCCAGCCAUACCGCGUGGGUGAAGAAGGCCUUCGGGUUGUAAAGCCCUUUUGUUGGGAAAGAAAAGCAGCAGGUUAAUACCCCGCUGUUCUGACGGUACCCAAAGAAUAAGCACCGGCUAACUUCGUG